GAGCCAUUAGCUCAGUUGGUAGAGCAUCUGACUUUUAAUCAGAAGGUCAGAGGUUCGAAUCCUCUAUGGCUCACCA
This 76-nucleotide transfer RNA is filed under the name Staphylococcus aureus. RNAcentral's name for it is "tRNA-Lys". It matches the Rfam family "tRNA". Rfam says of the family: Transfer RNA (tRNA) molecules are approximately 80 nucleotides in length. Their secondary structure includes four short double-helical elements and three loops (D, anti-codon, and T loops). The record is from RNAcentral. Lineage: Bacteria; Bacillati; Bacillota; Bacilli; Caryophanales; Staphylococcaceae. RNAcentral also lists the same sequence under 1 other name.